GGGGAUGUGGCUCAGUGAUAGAGUGCUUGCUUAGUUUGCACAAGGCCCUGGGUUUAAUCCCCAGCACUUCCA
Molecule: transfer RNA, 72 nt
Filed under: Ictidomys tridecemlineatus (thirteen-lined ground squirrel)
Lineage: Eukaryota; Metazoa; Chordata; Mammalia; Rodentia; Sciuridae
Description: Spermophilus tridecemlineatus (thirteen-lined ground squirrel) tRNA
Rfam family: tRNA
About the family: Transfer RNA (tRNA) molecules are approximately 80 nucleotides in length.
Source: Rfam by way of RNAcentral